Xiphophorus hellerii (green swordtail) is the source of this 2570-nucleotide long non-coding RNA. RefSeq lists it as uncharacterized. The transcript has 2 exons. Lineage: Eukaryota; Metazoa; Chordata; Actinopteri; Cyprinodontiformes; Poeciliidae. The record is from RefSeq and is a predicted model, not a curated record.
AAAAAAAAAUACAUUUCUGCUGCAUAAAAUUUUGGGAAACAGGUAAAAAUCACUGUUAUCCACACAGACAAGCUGUUUCAGCUUGAGGAGUCAUUCAUCUUUGCAACAAAAGUUUUGGGGGAAAGUGUGUAAAGAUUUAAAUUUAAGGUAUGUUAGCACUAAAACAUGGAGCAAAACCCAUGCUAAAUGGGUUUUAUUGUGUAUUUUCCAGGCACAUAGUGCCAUUUUAUAGCACAAUCAAAUAACUGUUACCAUCAAUUGUAAAAAUGCUCUAUCAAACAUAACUUAAAAGAAACUUGACUUCACUAUCCAACACCUGGAAAUUUGCCUCUGUCUCUUUAAGAAGCUCCUGGUCUUUUUGACAUCUUUCAAUACGUCAUCACAACAAUGUUCGUCUGUUAUAACAUUUAUAGCCAUUCUUAGGAGUGUUGUACUGAAAAUUAGUUUGUACGAUGAGCUCAGCUGAGUUCAGUUCCACCAGGUUUUCACUUAUUACUGCUACCACUAGUCUGGAGGAGCUGUGUGGGGAAAGCACAGCUGGGGACUACAGCUCCGAGGAAAUUCAGAGAUUCAACAAUUUCUCAAAUAUGCACAAAGAAUCAACGCAACACUCCAGGUAUUUUUGAUGAGGCAAUAAGAUUAUAACAUAAUAUAAAGCUCAAAAAAGUCGAUUUCACAUAAUAUCACCCUGCUUCAAAAUAGAUAAAGCUAAUCAGGAGAAUAUUAUUUGCUCGGAAGAGAUAGGUUUGGGCAGUGAAGGGCUAAAAUGUAAGGAAGAUACAUUUUAUUCAAAAUGUUAUUCAAGUGUUGCAGAGUGCACACAAUUUUUCUUCAGAUUUGUGGGGUAGAAAUCCCAAAAUUCAAUGACAAAGAAAAAUGGCUGUAUUGUUGUGAUAGUUUUCCUCCCCUCACUUCUCAAACUUCUUCUAUACAACUCUAUUAUGACAGUUGGCUUGAAGGAAUUCAAAACAAGAGCGCCUCCAGUCUUCCCCAUGGGCAGCCAACCUUCAUAACACACACUCAAAUUUGUGCCUGCAUAAGCUCUUAUAUAUACAGAUGCACACACACACAGACAUGCUAUCGUCACAUAGACCUGCAAAAUAACAGGCACAAGCAUAGCUUAGCCCCCACCUCUUGUGUUUUCAUAACAGGGUAUAAAGGUUAGGUCUGAUUCCGCUUGUUUAAAGUGCACACACGCUUACGGACACCGCUGCCGAAGUGGAGAAAAAUAAAAAAAAGUCCUAAUGCUUCCCUUAACUGCUGGCAGGUGCAAGAGGGUAGAUGCUUGGAUUCAGGGGCUGAUUGGCUAGAAAACCCCCAGGCUAGGGCCAAACAUCACCAUGAAGAUCAAAUGGAGCAUGCUACUCAAAAAGAAACAUGUGGAGAUGCCAGCCAGGUCUGAUUCAGCCUGAAGCUAGCUCCCAGGUUGUACAACACACAAAAACCAUACAUACACACACUACAUGCAGCAUGGAGACAGAAAAAACUGUUUCAGCAAUUAAACUCACAUUAGUGUUAUUGGGUUUUAUCCACUACUUUUCACUAAAAAGUUUAGAAAUUACAUCCAGAAUAUAGUGUCUUAGAAUAUCACUUACCAUUUGCACAUUUUGUUACAUUGCAACCACAAAUGCUGGCAUAUUUUUUGGGGAUUUAAUGCUUCAAAAAGUAUUGAAACUCUGUAUGAAUAAGAACUUUUAAAGUUAUUCUAAAUACAUAAUAUAUUUCAGUGAAAUUUGUGAUCAUACCAUGGGAAAAUGUGCAACAGUUCAAGAGGUGGGCAUAGUUUUCCAAGGCGCUGCAGUUACAAAAAGGAGAUGAAUGGAUACAGUACAGGAAGCAGUUUGACAUUGAAUUACUGCAGCAGAGGUCAGGAGAACAGAUGGGCAGAGAGAUUUACCUCCCAGUUUUCCACCAGCACAGCUUUAACAUAAAACUGCAGUGCUGCUGACUAAAUAUAAACAAAUCCACCAUUUGUCAUGACAUAUCUUUACAUUUAGAGUUAGAGCCGAGUUAUCCAUGUAUAAAUAAAACUGGUAUCAAACUGAUUUGAGUAAAUUUUGAUAAACGUCUUCCUGCCUAAAAGGAGAAAUGUUAGGAAUAAUUUUAAAAAAGAUGAGCAGCGUAGACUGGUGUGGGAGUGGUGAGUCCCACAGGACAAGACGCUGUUAUGCAUGCUGGUGGCAUUUGUAUACGGUUCAAACAAUUUAUGUGUGGACGAAUGGGGGAGCGCUCUGAAUACCUGCGUUUGUAACUGGAGCAUGUAGUGUGUGUUUGACUGCAUAAGUGUCUGCAAAUUUCAGUGUCAGCAUCUGUGUGUGUUCAACAGGGGAACUGUGUGUAAGCACGUGUGUGAAGGUCACUGUGCGUGUGUGUGUGUGUAUGUGUUUGUCAUUGUGCUCAUGUGAUACACUCUGUAAAUAGCAAUGGACCGCAAAAGAGAGCGGACACCGCGGCUGUUCCCUGUGGUAUGAUAGUAAUACAACACAUGCACCCAAUCACCUAGAGUAAUAUUGGAACAAACAGACAAAAGAAGGAGAACAAAUACAAGAUUGUGUUGGAACUAUCUAGAG